This is a long non-coding RNA of Brassica oleracea var. oleracea, 568 nucleotides long. RefSeq lists it as uncharacterized. The transcript is spliced from 3 exons. The record is from RefSeq and is a predicted model, not a curated record. Lineage: Eukaryota; Viridiplantae; Streptophyta; Magnoliopsida; Brassicales; Brassicaceae.
CUGGCUUUUUCCGUAUGCUACUGCUUAUCCUGAUGGGCGCAAAGAGCUCUUCUCAUUGGAGGUGGAAUUGCCAACUUCACUGACGUUGCAGCUACUUUCAACGGUAUCAUCCGCGCUCUAAGAGAAAAGGAAACAAGACUGAAAGCAUCAAGAAUGCACAUUUACGUAAGAAGAGGUGGUCCUAAUUACCAGACUGGUCUGGCUAGAAUGCGUGCUCUGGGAGAGGAACUCUGUUCCUCUUGAGGUAUAUGGACCAGAAGCAACGAUGACGGGAAUAUGCAAACGAGCCAUUGACUGCAUCAUGUUACCUGAUGCAUGAUCAACCAAACCUAUUGUGAUCUCUUCAGUUUUAAAAGCAGAACACAAACUUGGAGCUGGAGACUGGGAGGUGUGUGUUAGUGUGUGUUGAUCCCUGUUCUUCGUCUCUAUUUGUCAAUAUGAAAAUGAAAAGCUCUUUGAAACUUUUACUUGUGUGGGUGUAAUAUUGGAAACCAAAUCAUUGUGUGUUAUGUUGCAAGUGUAAUUGUAAACAAAACGGAAUUGUAAACAAAACGGUCAAAAUUCUCUU